CCUACGGGUGGCAGCAGUGAGGAAUAUUGGUCAAUGGGCGAGAGCCUGAACCAGCCAAGUAGCGUGAAGGAUGACUGCCCUACGGGUUGUAAACUUCUUUUAUAAGGGAAUAAAGUGAGGCACGUGUGCCUUUUUGUAUGUACUUUAUGAAUAAGGAUCGGCUAACUCCGUGCCAGCAGCCGCGGUAAUACGGAGGAUCCGAGCGUUAUCCGGAUUUAUUGGGUUUAAAGGGUGCGUAGGCGGAAUGUCAAGUCAGCAGUGAAAAUUUGGGGCUCAACCCUCGGGGUGCAGUUGAAACUGAUGUUCUUGAGUGUGCGAGAGGUAGGCGGAAUGCGUGGUGUAGCGGUGAAAUGCAUAGAUAUCACGAAGAACUCCGAUUGCGAAGGCAGCAUACCGG
This 397-nucleotide ribosomal RNA is filed under the name uncultured bacterium. RNAcentral describes it as "partial 16S ribosomal RNA". It matches the Rfam family "Bacterial small subunit ribosomal RNA", at positions 338 to 732 of the family's 1533-position model. The record is from RNAcentral.